Podarcis lilfordi (Lilford's wall lizard) is the source of this 122-nucleotide non-coding RNA. The record is from the annotation of a GenBank genome assembly. NCBI's taxonomy places the organism in Eukaryota, Metazoa, Chordata, Lepidosauria, Squamata, Lacertidae.
AAGCCACCCAGAGUGGCUGGUGUAACUCAGUCAGAUGGGUGAGAUAUUAUUAUUAUUAUUAUUAUUAUUAUUAUAAUAUCUCACCCAUCUGACUGAGUUACACCAGCCACUCUGGGUGGCUU